This 427-nucleotide ribosomal RNA is filed under the name uncultured bacterium. Its description in RNAcentral is "bacterial SSU rRNA". It matches the Rfam family "Bacterial small subunit ribosomal RNA", at positions 355 to 774 of the family's 1533-position model. The record is from RNAcentral.
CUAAGAAUCUUCCGCAAUGGACGCAAGUCUGACGGAGCGAUGCCGCGUGGAUGAAGAAUGCAGAGAUGUUGUAAAAUCCUUUUAUGAGUGAGGAAUAAUAUUACUAGGAAAUGAGUAGUAGAUGACGUUAGCUUAUGAAUAAGCUCCGGCCAAUUACGUGCCAGCAGCCGCGGUAACACGUAAGGAGCGAGCGUUGUUCGGAAUUAUUGGGCGUAAAGGGCGUGUAGGCGGUUAAUUAAGUCUUUUUUGAAAUACCGAUGCUCAACAUCGGAAACGGAGAGGAAACUGAUUAACUAGAAUCCGGUAGGGAAAUGUGGAAUUUCUAGUGUAGGGGUGAAAUCUGUUGAUAUUAGAAAGAACACCAAUGGCGAAGGCAACAUUUUGGGCCUGGAUUGACGCUGAGGCGCGAAAGCAUAGGGAGCAAACA